GACGAACGCUGGCGGCGUGCUUAACACAUGCAAGUCGAACGGAAAGGCCCUGCUUUUGUGGGGUGCUCGAGUGGCGAACGGGUGAGUAACACGUGAGUAACCUGCCCUUGACUUUGGGAUAACUUCAGGAAACUGGGGCUAAUAUCGGAUAGGAGCUCCUGCUGCAUGGUGGGGGUUGGAAAGUUUCGGCGGUUGGGGAUGGACUCGCGGCUUAUCAGCUUGUUGGUGGGGUAGUGGCUUACCAAGGCUUUGACGGGUAGCCGGCCUGAGAGGGUGACCGGCCACAUUGGGACUGAGAGACGGCCCAGACUCCUACGGGAGGCAGCAGUGGGGAAUAUUGCACAAUGGGCGGAAGCCUGAUGCAGCAACGCCGCGUGCGGGAUAACGGCCUUCGGGUUGUAAACCGCUUUCGCCUGUGACGAAGCGUGAGUGACGGUAAUGGGUAAAGAAGCACCGGCUAACUACGUG
RNAcentral lists this ribosomal RNA (468 nucleotides) under uncultured bacterium. RNAcentral describes it as "partial 16S ribosomal RNA". It matches the Rfam family "Bacterial small subunit ribosomal RNA", at positions 28 to 507 of the family's 1533-position model. The record is from RNAcentral.